GAGAAGGGAAACCAACUAUCCAAUGGACGGACUCUGGCCGGCCCCCAAAGGGAUCUUCCCUCACGACCCACCGGGCAGGAAAGGAGCAUGCCCCGUUCCCCACUCACCCACCCCUUUUAUUUGCUGAUCCCGCUCUCCACACAGAUGUUGACAUCUGCGUCAGAAUUCAACACGGGGCCAGUCAUUGGGAAGAAGGCUACGCCCAUCUGUGCGUGGCACACGUUGUAGAAAGGUUAUUUGGAAAGAUGUGCUGUACAUCCCACAAGAGAGUGACUUGAGAGGAAAAGUAUUUUUUUCUAGUUGUUUUUUGGGUUGCCUCUCUCCCCAACUAUUACCCCCUCCGAUACUACAUGGAAAUUCAUUUGGAGUCUUCCUUUCCCUCUCCAUCCCUCUACAGAGCAAAAGCAGAGUUUGCAACACAUUUUCAUUUCCAAAGGAUACAAUAGUGGAGGGGUGCCUGGGCAAGGAGCUCUCAGGCCUGGGAGAAACCAGCUUGUUUGCGGUGUUUCUGUGCGCCGUCACCGGCAGUCAGAAGGCUCAGGUGAGAGGACCAGCUGUUCACUGUGGACAAGGGAUAUAUUGCCUCUGAAGUGCAUGUUACUCUCCUGUAAAUUGGGAAGGCUCGCCAGGAGAGAGGGAAGUUUCCGUGAGAUGACUCCUGGAGGCUUGUUUCAGAGAUGCUCUCCGUGUGAGGUUGUUGUGAGGAACCUGGCAGGCAUGUGCCCCUUCAUCUUCGGGGCUUUCUCGCUCCUCUCACUGCCGACUAUGCCCAGAUAUGCCCAUGGAAGAGACAUAUUGGUCCCCAAGACAAUUACGUCUCUAAACCAAGAUUCAAAGGGAUGAGCAAAGGGGAAAACAAGCCUUUCAAGUCACAGUGAGAAACUGAGGCUCCAGGAUGUGACAGAUCAGCAUUUCCCUGUUCAGGCAGAUAAGGAAUCAGUUUUCACAGGAAAAAAUUUGAAGACAUCACCAAAGCCUCAUGUGGUUAAAAACAGAAACGAGGGAGCUGAAGACACGAGCUACCUGGCUGAAGGUUGGCGAUGGGUGGAGGGCAGAGGAGAAGCAGGGCUUUCCACCUCCUGCCUGCUCGCAGCGGUCUGCAAAGCUCCUGAGUGAGGCUAGGUAGUUUCCAUUCGCCCCUGCAAAUCCACUUUCCACCUGGGUCUCUGUGGGCCCGGGAGCCUGGUCUUUGUGGACCCCAUCAACCCUGCGGCUUCUACUUGGGUUCGGCCAACGGGAAGCACCCUCCAGAGAUGCGAGGGCAAAAGAGCGGUCAGGGUCUUUGUUCCCUGCUCCCUCCUUCGAGGCCACAGGUUGGCAGUGGGUGUUCCUCCACCAAAGGUCUCAAUUCUCAUCAGACAGCUUUCUGCUUAAGCCACAGCACAGCUCUGGCUCUCUCUAAGGACACUGUUACCAGUCCCUACCAUCCCCUGUUUGUGUCCCUUAACUCCAUUUGCACCUUUGUUAAUAGUCCCUUCAUUAAACUCGUCUCAAC
RNAcentral lists this long non-coding RNA (1495 nucleotides) under Equus asinus (donkey). RNAcentral describes it as "lncRNA (ENSEASG00005033243.1)". Lineage: Eukaryota; Metazoa; Chordata; Mammalia; Perissodactyla; Equidae. The record is from RNAcentral.